Molecule: non-coding RNA, 31 nt
Filed under: Mus musculus (house mouse)
Lineage: Eukaryota; Metazoa; Chordata; Mammalia; Rodentia; Muridae
Source: RNAcentral
UNUUGCAUCCAGCAUCUUACUGCCAUCGUCA